UUAAAGAUAAGAAGAGAAGGUAGGAUGUAUUAAAGUUAAGAGGAGAAGGUUGAAUGUAUUAAAGAUAAGAAGAGAAGGUAGGAUGUAUUAAAGUUAAGAGGAGAAGGUAGGAUGUAUUAAAGUCAAAAGGAGAAGGUAGAAUGUAUUAAAGUUAAGAGGAGAAGGUAGAAUGUAUUAAAGAUAAGAAAAGAAGGUAGGAUGUUUUAAAGGUGAGAGGAGAAAGUAGGAUAUAUUAAAGAUGAGGGUAGAAGGUUUAGGGUGUAAUAAAGUUAAGAGGAGAAGGUAGGAUGUAUUAAAGUUCAGAGGAGAAGGUACGAUGUAUUAAAGUUAAGAAGAGAAGGUAGGAUAUAUUAAAGUUAAGAGGAGAAGGUAGAAUGUAUUAAAGUUAAGAGGAGAAGGUAGAAUGUUUUAGAGAUAAGAAGAGAAGGUAGGAUGUAUUAAAGUAAAGAGGAGAAGUUAGAAUGUAUUAAAAUUAAGAGGAGAAGGUAGGAUGUAUUAAAGUUAAGUGGAGAAGGUAGCUUGUAUUAAAAUUAAGAGGAGAAGGUAGAAUGUAUUAAAAUUAAGAGGAGAAGUUAGAAUGUAUUAAAGUUAAGAGGAGAAGGUAGUUUAUAUAAAGAAAUCUGUGUUUGAAGGUUGUUAAGCAAUGAACCCCCCGGAACCUACCUAAUCAGACUAAACCAAGACAAGGAAUAUAGAUUGGCAGUCAAGACUGAGACAGGGACAAUUAAUAAUUUUAAGAUAAAUUAUGAAAAUGGAAAGUAUAAUUUUCUCAAUUGGGAGGAAUCAUCUCUGACUGAUUUGAUUACAAACAUACAGAGAAAUCACAUUCAAUACAUGACUCCCUUCGUGAGAAAAGGUAGAUAUUUAAAGAAUAACUUGU
This is a long non-coding RNA of Eurytemora carolleeae, 880 nucleotides long. RefSeq lists it as uncharacterized. The transcript has 4 exons. Lineage: Eukaryota; Metazoa; Arthropoda; Copepoda; Calanoida; Temoridae. The record is from RefSeq and is a predicted model, not a curated record.